RNAcentral lists this ribosomal RNA (301 nucleotides) under uncultured bacterium. RNAcentral's name for it is "partial 16S ribosomal RNA". It matches the Rfam family "Bacterial small subunit ribosomal RNA", at positions 509 to 809 of the family's 1533-position model. The record is from RNAcentral.
CAGCCGCGCGGGAAUACGUAGGUGGCAAGCGUUGUCCGGAUUUAUUGGGCGUAAAGCGAGCGCAGGCGGUCAAUUAAGUCUGAUGUGAAAGCCCCCGCUCAACCGGGGAGGGUCAUUGGAAACUGGUUGACUUGAGUGCAGAAGAGGAGAGUGGAAUUCCAUGUGUAGCGGUGAAAUGCGUAGAUAUAUGGAGGAACACCAGUGGCGAAGGCGACUCUCUGGUCUGUAACUGACGCUGAGGCUCGAAAGCGUGGGUAGCAAACAGGAUUAGAGACCCCCGUAGUCCCUGUCUCUUAUACAC